Dendronephthya gigantea is the source of this 328-nucleotide long non-coding RNA. RefSeq lists it as uncharacterized. The transcript is spliced from 3 exons. NCBI's taxonomy places the organism in Eukaryota, Metazoa, Cnidaria, Anthozoa, Malacalcyonacea, Nephtheidae. The record is from RefSeq and is a predicted model, not a curated record.
GGGACAUGUCUCUUUUCCAAGUGGGUAUAAGCCGAGCCAAUCAAGGCAAAAUCAGCAGAGUGUGUGUACCAGGUGUUAGUGAAGUGGAUACAUCGUUGGGGUGCACCACUUAAGAUUUUAAGUGACCAAGGUACAGAGUUUAACAACAAGCUGCUGAACGAAUUAAUGUUCAAAAAAUUUAACAUCCGCCAUCUUGUCACAGCUGCCUAUCACCCCCAAACAAAUGGUCAAGAUGAGCGCACUAAUGGAACUCUUAAGCGUCACCUUUCAAAGAUGGUCAAUGAACAGCAGGAUGAUUGGCACCUUUAUAUUGAACAAGCAUGCUGGG